Physeter macrocephalus (sperm whale) is the source of this 1688-nucleotide RNA transcript. It is a transcript of the gene named neuroepithelial cell-transforming gene 1 protein-like, with no coding region annotated. Lineage: Eukaryota; Metazoa; Chordata; Mammalia; Artiodactyla; Physeteridae. The record is from RefSeq and is a predicted model, not a curated record. The transcript has 3 exons.
CAAUGGCGGCGGCGGUGGCGGCGACGACCACCUGACAGAAACCCUUCUCCGGGCCGAAGGGGCCGGGCGCCGCGCGGCUCCCGGCGGGCCUCCCGGGCACCCGGCCACCGCGCCGCCCCCUCCACGCUAUGGAGUCCGAGCUGGCAGCCCAGGAGCAGAGCCGGCCACGGAGGCGAAGCCGCCGGGCCUCGGGACUCAGCGCGGGCGGCGCCGCAGAGCCUUCGGCCGACACCCCCGGGCCGGGGCCAGACGGCAGGAAUGUUGGCAACAGCUGGUUUGAAGAUCAUGCAAGAUACUAUCAGUGGAUUCCAACCCCCACGCGAGUACGCGGGCCUCUCACUGUUGUGGCCUCUCCCGUUGCGGAGCACAGGCUCCGGACGCGCAGUCUCAGCGGCCAGGGCUCACGGGCCCAGCCUCUCCGCGGCAUGUGGGAUCUUCCCGGACCGGGGCACGAACCCGUGUCCCCUGCAUCGGCAGGCCAACUCCCAACCACUGCGCCACCAAGGAGGCCCUGCUCCAAGUUUUUAUGUACAAUUUUCCUUUAAUCCAAUUGAGGGAGGGACAAGUCUGUCAUCUGUGACUUUUCGUCACAUUGCUGCUGGUCACCAGUUAAUCGGUUCUAACUACACUAAACUGAUAGCUGGAAAUGGGAUGUGAAUGAUUCGUAAUUGAAUCUCAAAUGCCUGCAUGUCUGAGAGUCUAGCUAAUGGAAAUGUGUAGGCCUAAAAUACCACUGGUGCAAACAUACGUGACUACCCACCCUUGGAUUCACACAACAGGCCACAAUUACAUUGAUAAUUAAGCUAAGCUAAUAUCAAUUUACAAUUAAAAGGCAAGAAUAGCAGCAUUGCAAACAACAAUAAGCAGCUUAAGAAAACACUGCUAUGUGAUGAAAAGUGUGGUUUUUUUUUUUAAGUGUAGGAAUUCUAACUAUGUGUGUGUCUUGUUUUGUUUACAAUACUUUCCUUAUUAAAAUAUGAGCUCAUGAGAGCAGGGAGUUUCCGGUUGUUUGUUUUGUUUAGAGGCACUCCCAGUUACUAGGCAAGUGCCUGGCACAGGGCACUGCUCACCAGUAGUUGUUGAGAGAAUGAAUGCACUUUACAUAAUUACAGUCACACCGCAUGACAACCAAAUCUCCCAGUAGGAAUCUCCACCACUAAGCAGCACUUAUUAGAAUAUAAAAAUUAAAGUCUAUGGAAUUAUACUUUACCCCAUAAAGUUGGCCCUCAGCCCACUAUGGCCCUCCCUACUCAUGUCUGACUGUGAGCCCUACUUUGAAUAUCACAGAUCUAGACUCUAUGGCCUACUACAGCUGUCCCACGGUAUCCAUGGGAUUGGUUCCAAGACCUCUAUGGAUACCAAAAUUCUUGGAUGCUCAAGCCCCUUAUAUAAAGGGUGUAAUGUACAGUUGGCCUCUGAGCAGCGGGUUCUACAUCCUCACAAUUGGUUGAAUCCGCAGAUGCCGAACCCAGGGAUACAGAGGAUGGACUGUACUGUGCUUUAAGUUCUUGCUAUUCAAAGUCUGGCUGGGGAAGCAACUACAUCCACAUCACAGGGAGCUUGAUAGAAAUGCAGAAUCUCAGGCCCCCCCACUCGGACCUACUAAACCCAAAUCCACUUUUUAACACGAUUCCCAGGUGAUGCAUAUGUGUAUUUGAGUUUGAGAAGCACUGCUUUAAGGACUGCAG